UCACCGCAUGAAGCGGGUAAGACCCCUGGAAGACGACCAGGUAGAUAGGCCGCAGGUGUAAGCACGGUAACGUGUUCAGCCAAGCGGUACUAAUCGGUCGAGGGCUUGACCAGCA
RNAcentral lists this ribosomal RNA (115 nucleotides) under Armatimonadota bacterium. RNAcentral describes it as "Armatimonadetes bacterium (anaerobic digester metagenome) partial 23S ribosomal RNA". It matches the Rfam family "Bacterial large subunit ribosomal RNA", at positions 2814 to 2925 of the family's 2925-position model. Lineage: Bacteria; Bacillati; Armatimonadota. The record is from RNAcentral.